This 484-nucleotide ribosomal RNA is filed under the name uncultured bacterium. Its description in RNAcentral is "partial 16S ribosomal RNA". It matches the Rfam family "Bacterial small subunit ribosomal RNA", at positions 29 to 507 of the family's 1533-position model. The record is from RNAcentral.
AUUGAACGCUGGCGGAAUGCUUUACACAUGCAAGUCGAACGGCAGCACGGGGGCAGCCCUGGUGGCGAGUGGCGAACGGGUGAGUAAUACAUCGGAACGUGCCCGGUCGUGGGGGAUAACGUAGCGAAAGUUACGCUAAUACCGCAUACGAUCUGAGGAUGAAAGCGGGGGACCUUCGGGCCUCGCGCGAUCGGAGCGGCCGAUGUCAGAUUAGGUAGUUGGUGGGGUAAAGGCCUACCAAGCCGACGAUCUGUAGCUGGUCUGAGAGGACGACCAGCCACACUGGGACUGAGACACGGCCCAGACUCCUACGGGAGGCAGCAGUGGGGAAUUUUGGACAAAGGGCGCAAGCCUGAUCCAGCCAUUCCGCGUGCAGGACGAAGGCCUUCGGGUUGUAAACUGCUUUUGUACGGAACGAAAAGGCUCUGGCUAAUACCUGGGGCUCAUGACGGUACCGUAAGGAUAAGCACCGGCUAACUACGUG